Molecule: ribosomal RNA, 449 nt
Filed under: uncultured bacterium
Lineage: Bacteria
Description: partial 16S ribosomal RNA
Rfam family: Bacterial small subunit ribosomal RNA
Source: RNAcentral
AACGAACGCUGGCGGCAGGCUUAACACAUGCAAGUCGAACGAGAUCUUCGGAUCUAGUGGCAGACGGGUGAGGAACACGUGGGAACAUCCCUUUCAGUUCGGAAUAACGUUGGGAAACUAACGCUAAUACCGGAUACGUCCUUCGGGAGAAAGAUUUAUCGCUGAAAGAUUGGCCCGCGUCUGAUUAGCUAGUUGGUGAGGUAACGGCUCACCAAGGCUACGAUCAGUAGCUGAUCUGAGAGGAUGAUCAGCCACAUUGGGACUGAGACACGGCCCAAACUCCUACGGGAGGCAGCAGUGGGGAAUAUUGGACAAUGGGCGCAAGCCUGAUCCAGCCAUGCCGCGUGAGUGAUGACGGCCUUCGGGUUGUAAAGCUCUUUCAGCUGGGAAGAUAAUGACGGUACCAGCAGAAGAAGCCCCGGCUAACUCCGUGCCAGCCGCCGCGGUAA